AUUCUUUUUUUAAAAGGGGAAGACAAAACCCUUUCGGUUGAUUAGAAGGAGCCCUCAUCUCGAUCCCCACCUUGGUUCAUCGCCCUCGGUUUCUGUUCUGAUUUUGGUGUUCUAGCCACCGAAGGCAUCCCUCUCUUCUGCACGCUGCAAGAUGAGUAGGGGUGCUUGUCAAUUGCUAUAGGAAAAUAGCUUAUGUCUUGUUCAGUGCUCCAUGCGAAGGCGUUGGCAGCUUGAGCAGGCCUUGGCAUUGCAAUUCUCCAAUUUAAGGUACAAUAUGUUUGCAUAGAGCAUUACUCUUCUACGGUUUCUUGGAUUAGUUCUACUUCCAUGUGUAGGAACACAAGAAAUCCUCUAUUGCGGGAUAUUUUCUGGUGGAGGCUGUCCCCCUUUUCCAAGCUACGCACGUGCAUCGCGAGGCAAAUCAAGCAGUGGACUAGGCUGCGCGACAAGCACUGGAUGGGGUUUUGUGUUAGAUUCUUAGACAAUUGUUCCACCAGUCUUCGGCUGGAUCGUGAUUGCUAGUAUUUUGCCGAUGGUUCCAGAGGACUUGAUUAAAUUUCUAGGCAUAUUAUCCUAUAUGUAACCCCAAAAAAAAUACACCCCAUUGCCUUUAGCCAAGUAACCCCAAUUGUGCAUUGGUUGAUUCAAAGAAUCGAAGUCUUUUUUUUUUGGAUGUGAACAAGAGGUAGCAGAGCUACCCCGCUUUGUUCAAAACAGAAUUUAUAAUCCUCAGACAGAGAGAACCACAAAGCGAUUAGAGCUCUGUUCAAAUUCCGAACA
Molecule: non-coding RNA, 780 nt
Organism: Elaeis guineensis (African oil palm)
Lineage: Eukaryota; Viridiplantae; Streptophyta; Magnoliopsida; Arecales; Arecaceae
Source: RefSeq, a predicted model, not a curated record